This 250-nucleotide ribosomal RNA is filed under the name uncultured bacterium. RNAcentral's name for it is "partial 16S ribosomal RNA". It matches the Rfam family "Bacterial small subunit ribosomal RNA", at positions 524 to 773 of the family's 1533-position model. The record is from RNAcentral.
UACAGAGGCGGCAAGCGUUGUUCGGAAUUAUUGGGCGUAAAGAGCACGUAGGCGGCUGUGUAAGUCGGUUGUGAAAGCCUUCCGCUUAACGGAAGAACGGCAUCCGAUACUGCAUAGCUCGAGUGCGGGAGGGGAGAGUGGAACUUCUGGUGGAGCGGUGAAAUGCGUAGAUAUCAAGAGGAACACCUGAGGUGAAGACGGGUUGCUGGGCUGACACUGACGCUGAGGCGCGAAAGCUAGGGUAGCAAAC